ACCACCGCAACGCAGCACUGGCGCCUCCCAGACGGAGUUUAUAUCCAUAGGCAAAUGAUACAACAUAUACCAUUAUAUCUCAGUCAUGGUAGUACAUCAGGGCAGCAACAAUGCAACAUGGCAUCCAACAUGAUGACUUUUAUUCGAACAAGGAAUGGAAAUACACACACAUAACACAGGGUGACACACUGGUUUGGAUACUCUCGAUGGGAUCCAAUUUUAUUGAACGCAAAGGUGAGACACGACCUUGCCCUGUGAAAUCUCAGACCAUGGAUACGCAUCAUUACGCAUCAAGGGAUGUGAGGCCAGCAUCAGCGUUACAGAAAUUGACACAAGCAUCACCACACUGUUCCACAUAGAGUUUCAUCUCUUCAUCGUCAGCAGCUGGUGCCCAAAUAGCAUGUUAUGUGUCAGGAACUCGCCUUUUCAAUUAGUUUACAGGAAUGCAAAUACAAGAUGAAUUUUAUUUACCUGCGUUGACCAUGUAGUCACAUAGGGAAGACCUACAUCCCAAGUUGCAGUACUCCAUGGUGUCUGGUUCAUCUGUCAAAUUAAAAUAUCUAGCGUGUAAAUAAAAUCCUGUUCGAAACAAAUAAUUCCCCGGUUACAAUAUGCUUGAUGUUUUGGAUAUUCACAUGGUCUCUAUCAUUCGUUCCUUGUUAGUUAUUUUUCCAAUUACUUGUUGGUAGAAAAUUAUGAAAAAAAAACUCGUGGAAAAUUAUUCAUGACAAAUCUGAUCAUCUAACGCCAUCUAACAUAUUCAAAAUACUUCAUCAUAUUAGUAAGAAAACCAGGAUAAUUUUAACUUGACUAUAUGCUUAUCAGAAUGACAUCUGUUCUAUUUUUAAAAAAGAGGUAGUAUAUAAAAUAGAAGGAGUUCAUUCUCUUUACCUGAGUUGGACUCAAGGACCAAUUUAGGGAAGUCCUUAGGGCAGCUUAGGCCACUUGUGAGUUUACACCUGCAAACGUUUGCGCAUAACUUCUGAGCACCACGGGCGCGGCAAAGGUUGUAGCAGUUUCUUCCUAGGGUGCUCUUGCAGCAACUCUUGCCUUCUACUUGCACCUGUUCCAGAACCAACCCCAGUAUGAGUAAACACACCAUCACACCCUUGAGGCCCUUGCUUCCCAUGGCUGGCAGGCUAUCUUGCAGAACACAGGCUUUGGUUGAUGGAUUGCUGAGACUAGGCUUGGAUGGCUCCUACUUAUAGGAGAUGGUGGUUGUGGCAUGUGGGAUGUUCACGUGAUGGUUGUGGUAUGUAAAUGUUGCGUGUUCAUGUCAGCCAUGUAUUUUUUUUUGUGAUAUCAUGCCAGCCAUGUAAACCGGAUGAAAACAAAAGCUCCUAACUGUGAGUGUGUUUGGAGGGCUACUAUUCUUCCAAAUUCCACUGGCAAUCUUUAACCACACGCAACAGCAACAAAUCCAUUGCUAGUUGCAUAUCACUCCUUAAACAUGAAUUUUUUUAAAGAGCUUAGGGACAAAUAUUGGACCUUGUCCUUCUUGCCUUGCUAAGGUGCCCACUCCGGCAAUGACAACAAAAGUGUCUUUAAUCACGCGCGGCAACGGCAAAAAAGGCAACCUUUAUGGUUGUCAUCCAUCCCAAGAGAAACUUGGUUGAAAUCGCGUGUAGAUGAUAAAGAUGAUGGUUGUGGAAUACGUGCAAGCGAACAUGUUCGUACCAAUCUAUUCGCGACCACAGUUCACAUGGUAUGUCACUUAGGGGUUGGUAAUGCAAGCGCAUCCCUCAAAACAAAAACUUUUGGCAGUUAGCUAGUUCUUUUCCGCAUGUGCUUUAGGCUUUUCUCAGCGCUUCAUAGUGCUAAGAAUGUCACAUAGGCAACAAGUUGAAGUAACAAAGAAAAUAAGAAAAAGAGAGAGCAUCCAGACCCAAGGAAGCAACGAUGUCAAGCGAGCAAAUCUAUGCGGAACACAUAUGCAUGAGGAAUUUUUGUUGCUAAACGAUUAAAUGAAGGAAACUUAGCUACAAAAAGCUAAGCACCUAUGCAUGCAUUAGGAAGUUUAGUUUAUAAGUUCUUUGAUGCACUUAGCACCUUAUCUAAGCACCUGUGGUGGAUCCAGAAACCUCUUGAAGGCCGAGCAAAGCACAAACUAAGGUAUCUAAGAUGCCAUUUUAAUUUUUUUUUUAAAUCAUCAUAUAAAAAAAUGUCUAACAUAAGGCGUCGCAUCAAUGGUAGAUUCACUCAUGAGUGAGCAUCAUUACUUUGUUCUAGAACCCAACUAAUCUCUACCUGGGAUCGGGAAAGUUUGUCUGAUGAGAUAAUAAAAUUCUGUUGAAAAAAAUUAAUGAUGAAUCUUUCACAAAACUGAUGACGUGCGUGCUUGGGAAGAGAUGGGAGUGACAUGUGUCCGAGCAGAAAAACAAAUAAGAGAUCGAUUCAAGGGAUAGACCUAGGGAUUGAUGGGUGGGCCACAGUCCACCAUAAGAUUUCCUAAUAAUUUAUAUAUCAUAGCGAGCAAAUGUUGAAUCUUGCUUACUGCGAGACGAAAUGAGCGGUCGCCUACGUAGCUCAUUCAAGUGGGCCAACCCAACAGCGGUUUUGAGAAGCUUCCAUGUGCCAUUUUGAGAAGCUUCUAUGUACAGUAGGGACUGGUUUUGGGGAACCUUCCGUGCGGUUUUCGGAAGCUUGCAUCCUUUUUUUUUCUUUCCAAUUUUUUUCUCUACAUAUUUUUAUACUUUUUUAUCUUUCUUCGUUCCUGCUAUUUUUUAUCUUUUCAUGUUCUUUGUAAAUAAAAGAGUGAACAUUUUUGUAUGGCAUGAACUUCUUGCAAAAAUAAAUGUGUAGACAAUUUUUCACAUUUUCAUGAAAUUUUUUGUAUAUGUUGCGAACAUGUUGUCAUAUGCCGUGAAAAUUCUCCAAAAUUUACACUAACUAUUUUUUACAUUUUCAUGAACAUGUUUACAAAUGCUGAAAUCAUUUUUCAAUGGUAACAAACACUUUUUAUAAGUCACGAACAUGUUUUAAAAAUUGAGCGAGCACAUUUUUAUAUUUCAUGAACAAAUUUUGAACGAGUUUUUGUUGGAUGGUACACCAUUUUUUAAAUGUCACGAAUAUUUUUUAUAAAUUAGUGAAAUUGUUGGUAAGUGUCAUGAAAUUUUUCAUUACAAAUGUGUGGACAUUUUUUUGAGCUGCUUGAAUGGUUUUCCGUUUUUUUAGCACAAUCCACUAGCUAAAUUCAUUAAUAAUCAUCGGAAUACAAUGAGUGUUAUGGGGUAGACCAAGCCAUGUGUGUCUCCCCUGAUCUAAACUGGAUGCAAACCUAGCUAAAUUAUGGGCUUCGUAAUUUGAGCCUCUUUUUUCAUGAACGAAAUUACAUAAGGUGAAAGAAGAUCUAGAAACACACAUUUUUCGUUUCCGAGAGGCGUGCCUCUCGCGAAAGCACAAUCAUACCUCUCAUGGAAGCAAAACCGUGCUUCUCGCGAAAGAAAAAAAAUAAAAAAACAUGUUUUUUUUUGUUUUCGAGAGGCAUGGUGAUGCCUCUCGCGAAAGUGAAACCGUGCCUCUCACAGAAGCAAAACAGUGCCUCUCCUGGAAAAAAACAUGUUUUUUCGUGUCAUUUAAAAAAAACUAAGACCGGUGAAAAUCCAAAAGGUCACAAAACCAUUAAAAGGAACCAAAAAUGUAUGCGGAAAAAUGAAAAAAGCAAAAUCUGAAUGAAGCGCAACACGUGACAGCAGGUGCGCUCUCUUCCCACCCCUAAGUGAUCGUUGGGAGGCUUCCGAAGGAGCGCUCCCCAACAGUUGCUCCCAACUCUCUCGAAAAACGAAUUUGUGUGGAAGCCCAAGUGAUGUGCGAACAACGGUAUGUGUAUGUAUCGCCCCUACAGAUAUAUAAUAGGCCUCGCCUACAGGGUGAUACAAUACUUGGCCAGCCCAUUUUCACGCGUUUGUGGGUUUGCUCGCUCGCUUUCGCUGUCCACAUUCUUGCAUUCUUUGGUUUUUCUUUUGUGUAUUUAUUUUUGUUUUUCUUUGGUUUUAUAUGUUUUCCGAUCNNNNNNNNNNNNNNNNNNNNNNNNNNNNNNNNNNNNNNNNNNNNNNNNNNNNNNNNNNNNNNNNNNNNNNNNNNNNNNNNNNNNNNNNNNNNNNNNNNNNNNNNNNNNNNNNNNNNNNNNNNNNNNNNNNNNNNNNNNNNNNNNNNNNNNNNNNNNNNNNNNNNNNNNNNNNNNNNNNNNNNNNNNNNNNNNNNNNNNNNNNNNNNNNNNNNNNNNNNNNNNNNNNNNNNNNNNNNNNNNNNNNNNNNNNNNNNNNNNNNNNNNNNNNNNNNNNNNNNNNNNNNNNNNNNNNNNNNNNNNNNNNNNNNNNNNNNNNNNNNNNNNNNNNNNNNNNNNNACGUUUACCAUUUUUGAAACACAUGAUUGAUAUUUUUGAAAUGAUGAUCAGAAAUAUAUAUUUUGAUGGCUACUCUUUUUCACACACGGUGUACAUUUUUUGUAUAUAUUUAAAAUAUUUUGAAAAUUUUCAUAUUUUUCAAAUACAUGUUUAACAUUUUUAAAAACACGUGAGAACAAUUUUUCAAUGAUAAAAUCAUUUUUUAUAAAUGAUGGGAUCUAUUUUUUACAUUGUACAAACAUUAUUUGGGAAAAUGUCCCGGCAUAAUUUUAAAAUUUGUGGUCAUUAGUUUCGAUGUAUCAUGCCUUUUAUUGAGGUCCGGAUCAUUUUUUUAAUUACAAGAGCAUUGCUUUAUUAACAUUUGUUAUAUACAUUGUCAAAAGCUCAUUUAUUUUUUAAUACAUUUUCAAUAUUUUUUAUACACAUUUAAUAUUUGUCAAAUGCUUGAUCAACAUUUGUACAAAUACGUUCAACAUUUUUUGAAAAAGCUUGAUUAACAUUUUUAUAUACAUGAUCCAAAAUUUUCAUAAUUUCCUAAGUAUGGUCAACAUUUUUUAUAUACACACUUAAAUUUUUUAAAUGCUUGAUCAACAACGUUCAAAUAAUUUUUCAACAUUAAAAUAUAUUUAGAAUAUUUUAAUAUUUAAAGAAAAAUUGAAAAUAAAACAAGAAACAGAAAAAGAUCAGGUUAUGGCCCCCCGCGCUCCUGGGCUGCCCAUCUCGGUCUCCCCUUUAGUGUGGGUACCUACACUCUCGCUGAAGGCGGGAUAUAGGGGUGCCCCUGAUUAGGAGGUCUGCUUGUUGCCCUAAAAAAAGGAGGUCUCCUUGCUUAGCACAUGGCCUGACGCGAGUCCGAGAACAGCUGACUAGUGUUAUUUCUUGUGUGCGACCUUCAAGAGCAUAUUUUUUCUGCCAUGCGAGCACGCCAAGGUGCGUUCAGCCGUCGCCACAUGUCAUGUGUUGGGCGCUCUCUCUAGAUUUUAUUUUUAAUUUUUUAUGUGUUUUUUGGGUUUUAGAUGAGGUUUUUCGGGUUUUUGGCUUUUCGGUUUUUGCCCGGUUUUUUCUAGGUAUUGGAGAAAAAAAUGGGGAUUCUUUUCGCACAAAAAGUAGUUGUGCUUCCAUGAGAAACACAUUUGCUUUCAUUUGUUAUUUUUGAAAAGGAAAAAUCAGUGCUUCCACGAGAAGCACACAUUUGCUUCUUCAAAAUAGAAAAAAAAAUUCUUCACAGGUAGCACAUAUAUUUGCUUCUUGUGGUGGCAUUGAUUUGCUUUCGCGAGAAGCACAAAAAAGGGGAAAAUGUACUCUCACGAGGAGCACACAUUUGCUUCCGUGAGAACCACAUCAGAAAAAAAACUAUGCUUCCACCAGAAUUACAUAAUUUCUUCUCAUGGAGACACGGAUUUGCUUCCUCAAGAAGCACAGAUUAUCGAAAAGAGAGAAAAAUUAAACAUGUGCUUCCAGUUCUAGAUUCUUUCUUCAAAAAUUUUGUCUUUCUUUCUUUUGUUACCUUAUUUAUUUAUUUUUUUAUCAUUUUUUACUUUUUAAAAAAAUUCAUCAAAACCUAAUAACUGAAGGAAAUAUGCCCUAGAGGCAAUAAUAAAGUUGUUAUUUAUAUUUCCUUAUAUCAUGAUAAAUGUUUAUUAUUCAUGCUAGAAUUGUAUUAACCUGAAACUUGAUACAUGUGUGAAUACAUAGACAAACAUAGUGUUCCUAGUAUGCCUCUAUUUGACUAGCUUGUUGAUCUAAGAUGGUUAAGUUUCCUAGCCAUAGACAUGUGUUGUCAUUUGAUGAACGGCCACAUUAUUAGAGAAUGAUGUGAUGGACAAGACCCAUCCGUUAGCUUAGCACUAUGAUCGUUUAGUUUGUUGCUAUUGCUUUCUUCAUGACUUAUACAUGUUCAUCAGACUAUGAGAUUAUGCAACUCCCGAAUACUGGAGGAACACUUAGUGUGCUAUCAAACGUCACAACGUAACUGGGUGGUUAUAAAGAUGCUCUACAGGUGUCUCCGAUGGUGUUUGUUGAGUUGGCAUAGAUUGAGAUUAGGAUUUGUCACUCCGAUUGUCGGAGAGGUAUCUCUGGGCCCUCUCGGUAAUGCACAUCACUAUAGACCUUGCAAGCAAUGUGACUAAUGAGCUAGUCACGGGAUGAUGCAUUACAGAAUGAGUAAAGAGACUUGCCGUUAAUGAGAUUGAACUAGGUAUUGAGAUACCGACGAUCGAAUCUCGGGCAAGUAACAUACCGAUGACAAAGGGAACAACGUAUAUUCUUAUGCGGUUUGACCGAUAAAGAUCUUCGUAGAAUAUGUAGGAACCAAUAUGAGCAUCCAGGUUCCACUAUUGGUUAUUGACCGGAAGUGAGUCUCGGUCAUGUCUACAUAGUUCUCGAACCCGUAGGGUCCGCACACUUAACGUUCGAUGACGAUCGGUAUUAUGAGUUUAUGUGUUUUGAUGUACCGAAGGUAGUUCGGAGUUCCGGAUGUGAUCACGGGCAUGACGAGGAGUCUCGAAAUGGUAGAUACAUAAAGAUCGAUAUAUUCGAAGGCUAUGUUUGGACAUCGGAAUGGUUCCAGAUGAGUUCGGGCAUUUUCCGGAGUACCGGGAGAUUACUAAUACGUCUCCGUCGUAUCUACUUUUCCAAACACUUUUGCCCUUGUUUUGGACUCUAACUUGCAUGAUUUGAAUGGAACUAACCCGGACUGACGCUGUUUUCAACAGAAUUGCCAUGGUGUUAUUUAUGUGCAGAAACAAAACUUCUCGGAAUGACCUGAAACUCCACGGAGAUUAUUUCUGUAAAUAAUAAAAAAUACUGGCAAAGAAUCAAGGCCAGGGGGCCCACACCCUAGCCACGAGGGUGGGGGUGCACCUGCCCCCCUAGGUGCGCCCCCUGCCUCGUGGGCCCCCUGGAGCUCCUCCGACCUCAACUCCAACUCUAUACAUUCGUGUUCGGGGAGAAAAAAAGGGAGAAGGAUUCAUUGCGUUUUACGAUACGGAGCCGCCGCCAAGCCCUAAACUCUCUCGGGAGGGCUGAUCUGGAGUCUGUUCGGGGCUCCGGAGAGGGGAAUCCGUUGUCGUCAUCAUCAUCAACCAUCCUCCAUCACCAAUUUCAUGAUGCUCACCACCGUGCAUGAGUAAUUCCAUCGUAGGCUUGCUGGACGGUGAUGGGUUGGAUGAGAUUUAUCAUGUCAUCGAGUUAGUUUUGUUAGGGUUUGAUCCCUAGUAUCCACUAUGUUCUGAGAUUGAUGUUGCUAUGACUUUGCUAUGCUUAAUGCUUGUCACUAGGGCCCGAGUGCCAGGAUUUCAGAUCUGAACCUAUUAUGUUUUCAUGAAUAUAUGUGAGUUCUUGAUCCUAUCUUGCAAGUCUAUAGUCACCUACUAUGUGUUAUGAUCCGGCAACCCCAAAGUGACAAUAAUCGGGACCACCCCGGUGAUGACCGUAGUUUGAGUUCAUGUAUUCACUAUGUGUUAAUGCUUUGGUCUGAUACUCUAUUAAAAGGAAGCCUUAAUAUCCCUUAGUUUCCACUAGGACCCCGCUGCCACGGGAGGGUAGGACAAAAGAAGUCAUGCAAGUUCUUUUCCAUAAGCAUGUAUGACUAUAUUCGGAAUACAUGCCUAUAUUACAUUGAUGAAUUGGGGCUAGUUUGUGUCACCCUAGGUUAUGACUGUUACAUGAUAAACUGCAUCCGGCAUAAUUCUCCAUCACUGAUCCAUUGCCUACGAGCUUUCCAUAUAUUGUUCUUCACUUAUUUAUUUUUCCGUUGCUAUUGUUAUCAUCACUAUAAAACACCAAAAAUAUUACUUUUUCUAUCAUUACCUUUUGCUACCGUUACCACUACCAUCAUAUUACUUUGCUACUAAACACUUUGCUGCAGAUAUUAAGUUAUCUAGGUGUGGUUGAAUUGAUAACUCAGCUGCUAAUACUUGAGAAUAUUCUUUGGCUCCCCUUGUGUCGAAUCAAUAAAUUUGGGUUGAAUACUCUACCCUCGAAAACUGUUGCGGUCCCCUAUACUUGUGGGUUAUCAAGACUAUUUUCUAGCGCCGUUGUCGGGGAGCAUAACUCUAUUCUUUGAGUCAUUUGAGAUUUAUAUCUUCUUAUCAUUAUGAAGAACUUGAGAGAUCCAAAAUCCAGGAUUUAUCCCUCAACUACGAGGGGAGGUAAGGAACUGCCAUCUAGCUCUGCACUUGACUCACCUUCUGUUUUGAGUAAGCUUGCGACACCUAGACCUGCUUCUGAUAUUAAUUCUGAUAUAUGUCGCAUAUUAUUGAUGAUGCCACUUCUGCUAUGCAUGAUACUUAUGAUGAAACUACUUCUAUGCUUGAUACUGCUGUACCACUUAGUGAAUUUCUUGAUGAACAACUUGCUAGGGCUAGAGAGAAUGAAAUUAUUGAAACUGAUAAUAUUGAUGAAAGCAAUGAUGAAGGCUCUCCUAAUAAAUAUGAAUUACCUGUUGUGCCUGAGGGCUAUGUUAUGGAUGAAGAAACUAAAAGAGACUUUCUUGCUUGCAAUGAUAGAAGUGAUCUUAAGAAAUCAUUAGCUAAGCUUAAACAAAAAAGUUUGAAUGCUAGAAUGAAAUAUGAUCCUUCUUAUGCUACUUCACCUAUCUUUGUUGCUGAUAAGGAUUAUGAAUUCUCUAUUGAUCCUGAUAUAAUUACUUUGGUUGAAUCUGAUCCUUUUUAUGGCUAUGAAUCUGAAACUGUUGUGGCACAUCUUACUAAAUUAAAUGAUAUAGUCACCCUGUUCACUAAUGAUGAGAGAACUCGCUACUUUUAUAUCCUUAAAAUAUUUCCGUUCUCAUUAAAGGGUGAUGCUAAGAUAUGGUUUAAUUCUCUUGAUCCUGGUUGUGUGCGUAGUCCCCAGGAUAUGAUUUAUUACUUCUGUACUAAAUAUUUCCCUGCUCAUAAGAAACAAGCUGCCUUAAGGGAUAUAUAUAUAAUUUUGUGCAAAUUGAAGAAGAGAGUCUCCCACAAGCUUGGGGGAGGCUUCUCCAAUUACUUAAUGCUUUGCCUGAUCAUCCUCUUAAGAAAAAUGAAAUACUUGAUAUAUUUUAUAAUGGACUAACCGAUACUUCCAGAGAUUACCUGGAUAGUUGUGCUGGUUCUGUUUUCAGGGAAAGGACACCGGAUGAAGCUGAAAUUCUACUGAAUAAUAUGUUGACGAAUGAAAAUAAUUGGACACUUCCUGAGCCAGCUCAUGAGCCUAUUCCUAAACCAACUCUGAAGAAAAGGGGUGUUCUAUUUCUCAGUCCUGAAGAUAUGCAAGAGGCAAAUAAAUCUAUGAAGGAAAAGGGUAUUAAAGCUGAAGAUGUUAAGAAUUUACCUCCUAUCGAAGAAAUACAUGGUCUUAAUUUACGACCUGUUGAAGAAAUAUAUGGUUUUAAUCCAUCACCUAUUGAAGAAACACACGGUCUUGAUAACCCGACACGGGAAGUAAAGGUAAAUUCUCUCUAUAGAUAUGAUAAAGCUGAAAUCCCUCCUACUAAGUUUGCUAGCCAAUGUUUGGAUGAGUUUGAUAACUUUAUGGUUAAGCAAGAAGACUUCAAUGCUUAUUUUGGUAGACAAUUGAAACAAAAUGCUUAUAUGAUUGAACACUUGGGUGAUUAUAUGUCUAGAGUUAAAGAUGAACUUAAACUCAUUAGUAAACAUGCUUAUAUGGUCACCACUCAAGUAGAACAAGUACUUAAAGCUCAAAAUGAUUUGCUCAAUGAAUUGAAUAAUAAGAAUAAUGACUAUGUUGUUAGAGUGGCUACUAGAACUGGUAAAAUGACUCAGGAACCUUUGUAUCCUGAAGGCCACCCUAAGAGAAUUGAGCAAGAUUCUCAGAGAAAUAAUAUAGAUGCACCUAGUCCUUCUAAAAGGAAGAAAAAUAAAAAUGAUAGGACUUUGCAUGCUUCUAGUGAACCUAUUGCUGAAACACCUGAGAAUCCAAAUGAUAUCUCUAUUUCUGAUGUUGAAACACAAUCUGGUAAUGAACAUGAAACUAGUGAUAAUGUUAAUGAUAAUGUUCAUGUUGAUGCUCAACCUAGUAAUGACAAUGAUGUAGAAAUUGAACCUGAUGCUGAUCUUGAUAACCCACAAUCAAAGAAUCAACGUUAUGAUAAGAAAGACUUUGUUGCUAGGAAACACGGUAAGGAAAGAGAGCCUUGGGUUCAGAAACCCAUGCCUUUUCCUCCUAAGCCAUCCAAGAAAAAGGAUGAUGAGGAUUUUGAGCGCUUUGCUGAAAUGAUUAGACCUAUCUUUUUGCGUAUGCGUUUGACUGAUAUGCUUAAAAUGAAUCCUUAUGCUAAGUACAUGAAAGAUAUUGUUACUAAUAAAAGAAAGAUACCGGAAGCUGAAAUUUCCACCAUGCUUGCUAAUUAUACUUUUAAGGGUGGAAUACCUAAGAAACUAAGAGAUCCAGGAGUACCAACUAUACCAUGCUCCAUUAAAAGAAAUUAUGUUAGAACUGCUUUAUGUGAUCUUGGAGCCGGUGUUAGUGUUAUGCCUCUCUCUUUAUAUCAUAGACUUGAUUUGAAUAAGUUGACACCUACUGAAAUAUCUUUGCAAAUGGAUGAUAAAUCAACUGCUAUACCGGUCGGUAUUUGCGAGGAUGUGCCUGUUGUGGUUGCAAAUGUGACUAUUUUAACGGACUUUGUUAUUCUUGAUAUUCCCGAGGACGAUAGUAUGUCUAUUAUUCUUGGAAGACCCUUUUUGAAUACUGCAGGGGUUGUUAUUGAUUGCACCAAAGGCAAUGUCACUUUUCAUGUUAAUGGUAAUGAGCAUACAGUACACUUUCCGAGGAAACAACCUCAAGUCCACAAUAUCAAUUCUAUUGGAAAAAUUCCAUCGAUUAUUUUUGGAGGUUUUGAAUUUCCUCUUCCUACUGUCAAGAAGAAAUAUGAUAUUCUUAUUGUUGGGGAUGUGCAUAUCCCCAUUGAGGUAACCUAGUGUUAUUCGAAAUUUCUCCGGUUUCAUGUUACUCGAAAUGAGUUUGUUAACAAGACUUGAUCAACCUUGUUAGUGGAUUCCUUUUGAUGAGCAUGAUAUGGAUGAAGCUAGAAAACACAACUCUCUGUACCUUCUUUUUACUUUCUGUUAUUUAUAUUAAAUAAAGCAAAAUAGUAAUUUCUGUUUGUUUUCUGAUUAUCCGUGCAAUAUAAAAAUACCCGGAAAAUAAAAGUUCUCCAAAUGCCCUGAAAUUUAAAUAUGAUUUUUAUGGAAUAUUUGAGAAUAUCUGGCACUGAGAACACAGCAGGGGGAGCGAGCACCUGGCCACGAGGGUCCAUGGCGCGCCAACCCCCCUGGGCGCGCUCCCCUGCCUCAUGGGCCCAUGGUGGCUCCCCUCCACUUAUUCCUGCACCCACACACUUCUUCUUCCUCCCAAAAAAAUCACUAUCCAGCUCAAGCACGAGUUCUAGCUCAUUUUACUGCGAUUUUCGAUCUCCUUGCUCAAAGCACCCCUCACAAAACUGCUUUGGAGGAUUGUUCCUUGGUAUGUGACUCCUCCAUUGGUCCAAUUAGUUUUUGUUCUAGUGCCUUAUUCAUUACAAAUUUGUGCUGCCUAGGUGACCAUGUUCUUGAGCUUGCAUGUCAAAUGUAUAUGGUUCCAAGUAGUUCUAACGCAUGAUAUAGGCUCUAGACACUUGUAGGAGUAGUUGCUAUCAAUUUUGUUGAGUUUGGUUUACUUUUAUUUGAAGUUACUAAAAAUUUCAGAAUUUUUCAGAAAAUAAUGAAGAGAUUUUUGAGGGGCUCAUCGAGCCGAAGCUCGAAGGAAAAGCAAAAUGAAGAAGCAGAGAGGCCCAAAUAUAAUCUGCCUCGCACCGCAGAGGUUCGGCGGUGUGAAUGGCCUUCCGAUGAUUUCUUGAGAGCCGCCGGGAUUUAUGAUGAUUUCUAUGAAUUGGCUGAGAAUGCAGGCCUCACCGCCUUCCUCCACGACCAACGCGAACAGUAUCUCUUACUCACAAAUAUCUUUGUGCAAAACUUUCAUUUCCAUGCUAGGAGCUCACCACCUACGGUGGAGUUUUAUUUAUAUAAUGAGCAUAAGGAGAUGUCACUUCGUGAUUUUUGUCGGGUUUGUUUGAUCCCUUCCGAGGGCAUCAUAGAGGAACCACAUCGUGAUGAAUGUGGAUGGGUUUAUUGAUACCAUCACUGUAGGGGAAACAAAGAAGGUUUCCGACGCACGAACUACUAGCAUACACUUUCAUGUUCUACGUUACUUUGCUAUAUUUGCUAGUAGAUGCUUAAUUGGGCGCAGAAACUGUGGAAAUCUGAGUGCCCCUGAUAUUGUUAUUUUGUGCCACGCCUUAUUUCAUGAUGAUACAUUCAGUAUGGGUGCUAUUAUUGCAAAACGGUUAAAUCUUAACCGUACUAAGGGCCCCGUCUUUGGAGGCAUCUUCGCCUCGCGCCUAGCUGCACAUUUUAAUAUACCUAUUAGGCACUAUGAAAAAGAAGAAAAAAUGUUGCCUACUGUUUAUUUAGAUUAUAAGAGUAUGGUAGUGCAUGAUUUUAUUGUAAAGAAUAGGGAAAAUGAGUUCAAAUACAAAUUGUUCUUUGAUAAACAUCAUCCUGAGACUAUUACCCUGCCUGCUCCUUCCUUGUUUGAUUUAUCUGCAGGCAAGUACCUUGUUCCAUUGGAGGCUAUUCACGCCUACCGAAACCCUACAUCAGUUGCAGAUCCAGAGUCGGAACCACAAUUUGAUCCUCCACGACAGCCUAAUUACCAGUGGGAUCCGGAGAUGAUUGCCAACCAGUGGCAAUCAGAGUCUUCUUCUUCGCAGUACGACCCCAACUAUUACUUUGGAUAUCCGCCAGGCCAGCUGUGGCCAUAGACCAACUUAGGCCAAAAGCCUAAGCUUGGGGGAGUACGUAUUUUCCACCGACAUUACAUUCAUGUUCACACACUCAUUGCUAGAUGUUGGUGCUCAUACUUUUUCAUUGUAUCAACCAUACUAGUUUAUUUCCUUUUUAUGCUUUCUUCUUGUGUGUUUAAUAAACCUUAAGAAAAACCAAAAAAAAUUAGUUGCAGCUUUUAGCUAGUUUUAAUUUCCAUACUUGUAGUAGUAAUUAAAAAGAAAACCCCAAAAGAUUUCAUGUUCUUCUUUUGCUUGUUGGGAGCUUUCCCGUGUAAAUAGUUUUAUUUCUUUUCUUUUCUUUGGGGGUCUAUAGGAGAAGACCAUAAUUAAAUUGUUGAAGUGACUCCUAUAUGCAUUAUUGUUGAUUUAACCAAGAGUCCAUAUUGCCUUGUCUUCUCCUGUUUAUUGAAUGCUUGCAGAUUCCAGCUUAGUCCAAUGCACGUGCACUAUUAUUAUUAUUCACAUCAUUCGGUCGUGUAAGUGAAAGGCAAUUAUGAUGAUAUAUGAUGGACUGAUUGAGAUGGGAGAAGCUGGUAUGAACUCGACCUCUCUUGUUUUUGUAAAUAUGAUUAGUUCAUCAUUCCUGAUUCAGCCUAUUAUGAAUAAACAUAUUUGCAAUGAAAAUUAGAGAUUAUAAUUGCUUAUGUCAUGCUUAAUUAGCUAGGAGCUUAUAAUGGUUUACCUUGCGUGCCAACAUGCUAUUAAAAUGGUUGUGAUGUGGUAUGAUAGGGUGGUAUCCUCUUUUGAAUGAUUCGAGUGGCUUGACUUGGCACAUGUUCACGCAUGUAGUUGAAACAAAAUCAACAUAGCCUCUACGAUAUUUAUGUUCAUGGUGCAUUAUAUCCUACUCAUGCUUGCAUUAGGUGUUGAUUAAUUUUAAUGCAUGUUCAUGACUGUUGUCGCUCUCUAGUUGGUCGCUUCCCAGUCUUUUUCUAGCCUUCACCCGUACUAAGCGGGAAUACUGCUUGUGCAUCCAAUCCCAUAAACCCCAAAGUUGUUCCAUAUGAGUCCACCAUACCUACCUAUAUACGGUAUCUACCUUCCGUUCCAAGUAAAUUUGUAUGUGCCAAACUCUAAACCUUCAAAUAAACAUUCUGUUUUGUAUGCUCGAAUAGCUCAUGUAUCAACUAGGGUUAUCCGUCUCUUCCAUGUUAGGCGGGUUAUUCUCAAGAGGAGUGGACUCCGCUCCUCACUCAUGAGAAAAUGGCUGGUCACCGAGAUGCCCAGUCCCAUGCUUUAUGCAAAUCAAAUCAAAAUAAUUGCAAACAAAAAUCCCCCGAGACUGUUGUUAGUUGGAGGCACUCGUUGUUUCGAGCAAGCCAUGGAUUGAUGCUUGUUGGUGGAGGGGGAGUAUAAACUUUACCAUUCUGUUUGGGAACCGCCUAUAAUGUGUGUAGCAUGGAAGAUAUCGCCAUCUCUUGGUUGUUAUGUUGACAAUGAAAGUAUGCCACUCAAAAUAUUAUUCAUAUGUAUUUCAAAACCGAGCUCUGGCACCUCUACAAAUCCCUGGUUCCCUCUGCGAAGGGCCUAUCUAUUUACUUUCAUGUUGAGUCAUCAUCCUCUUAUUAAAAAGCACCAGUUGGAGAGCACCGCUGUCAUUUGCAUUCAUUACUGUUAGUUUACAUUGAGUAUGACUUGAUUGGAUCUCUUUUACCAUGAAUUACAAUGUCUAGUCAGUCCUUGAUCUUUAAAGGUGCUCUGCAUUUAUGUUUUGUGGUCUCAGAAAGGGCUAGCGAGAUACCAUCUUGUUAUAUCAUAUUAUGAUUGUUUUGAGAAAGUGUUGUCAUCCGAGAUUUAUUAUUAUUGCUCGCUAGUUGAUUAUGCCAUUGAUAUGAGUAAACAUGAGACCUAAGAGUUAUUGUGAAUAUGGUUAGUUCAUAAUCUUUGCUGAAAACUUGAAUGCUGGCUUUACAUAUUUACAACAAUAAGAGCAAACAGAGUUUGUAAAAGUUUUUCUUUAUCACUUUCAGUUUUUCAAUUGAAUUGCUUGAGGACAAGCAAAGGUUUAAGCUUGGGGGAGUUGAUACGUCUUCGUCGUAUCUACUUUUCCAAACACUUUUUCCCUUGUUUUGGACUCUAACUUGCAUGAUUUGAAUGGAACUAACGCGGACUGGCGCUGUUUUCAGCAGAAUUGCCAUGGUGUUAUUUAUGUGCAAAAACAAAAGUUCUCGGAAUGACCUGAAACUCCACGGAGAUUAUUUUUGGAAAUAAUAAAAAUACUGGCAAAGAAUCAAGGCCAGAGGGCCCACACCCUAGCCACGAGGGUGGAGGCGCUCAUGCCCCCCUGGGCGCGCCCCCUGCCUCGUGGGCCUCCUGGAGCUCCUCCGACCUCAACUCCAACUCUAUAUAUUCGUGUUCGGGGAGAAAAAAAUAAGGGAGAAGGAUUCAUCGCAUUUUACGAUACGGAGCCGCCGCCAAGCCCUAAACUCUCUCGGGACGGAUGAUCUGGAGUCCGUUCGGGGCUCCGGAAAGGGGAAUCCGUCGACGUCAUCAUCAUCAACCAUCCCCCAUCACCAAUUUCAUGAUGCUCACUGUCGUGCGUGAGUAAUUCCAUCAUAGUCUUGUUGGACGGUGAUGGGUUGGAUGAGAUUUAUCAUGUAAUCGAGUUAGUUUUGUUAGGGUUUGAUCCCUAGUAUCCACUAUGUUCUGAGAUUGAUGUUGCUAUGACUUUGCUAUGCUUAAUGCUUAUCACUAGGGCCCGAGUGCCAUGAUUUCAGAUCUGAACCUAUUAUGUUUUCAUGAAUAUAUGUGAGUUCUUGAUCAUAUCUUGCAAGUCUAUAGUCACCUACUAUGUGUUAUGAUCCGGCAACCCCGAAGUGACAAUAAUCGGGACCACUCCCGGUGAUGACCGUAGUUUGAGGAGUUCAUGUAUUCACUAUGUGUUAAUGCUUUGGUCCGGUACUCUAUUAAAAGGAGGCCUUAGUUUCCACUAGGACCCUGCUGCCACGGGAGGGUAGGACAAAAGAUGUCAUGCAAGUUCUUUUCCAUAAGCACGUAUGACUAUAUUCGGAAUACAUGCCUACAUUACAUUGAUGAAUUGGAUCUAGUUCUGUGUCACCCUAGGUUAUGACUAUUACAUGAUGAACCGCAUCCGGCAUAAUUCUCCAUCACUGAUCCAUUUCCUACGAGCUUUCCAUAUAUUGUUCUUCGCUUAUUUAUUUUUCCGUUGCUAUUGUUAUCAUCACUAUAAAACACCAAAAAUAUUACUUUUGCUAUUGUUACCAUUUGCUACCGUUACCACUACUAUCAUAUUACUUUGCUACUAAACACUUUGCUGCGGAUGUUAAGUUAUCCGGGUGUGGUUGAAUUGACAACUCAGCUGCUAAUACUUGAGAGUAUUCUUUGGCUCCCCUUGUGUCGAAUUAAUAAAUUUGGGUUGAAUACUCUACCCUCGAAAACUGUUGCGAUCCCCUAUACUUGUGGGUUAUCAGUUACCGGAACCCCCCGGGGAGUCAAUGGGUCUUAAUGGGCCCUAGUGGAGAAAGAAGGCAGCAGGAGAGUGGUGGGGCACCCCCUCCCUAGGCCCAAACCGAAUUGGUUUAGGGUUUGCCCCCCCCCCUUUCCUUCUCCUCUCCUCCUCCUUUCUCCUUCUCCUAAUAGGAAUAGGAAAGGGGGGCAAACCUACUUGGAGUAGGAUUGCCCCCCCUUGGGCGCGCCUCCUCCUAGGUCGGCCCUCUCCUUCUUCCCCCUUUAUAUAUGGGGGAGGGGGCACCCCAUAGACACACAAGUUGAUUGUUUAGCCGCGUGCGGUGCCCCCCUCCAUAGAUUUUUCCACCUCGGUCAUAUCGUUGUAGAGCUUAGGCGAACCCUGUGUCAGUAACUUCAUCAUCACCGUCAUCACGUCAGCGUGCUAACGAAACUCUCCCUCGACCUCAGCUGGAUCUAGAGUUCAUGGGACGUCACCGAGCUGAACGUGUGCAGAUCGCGGAGGUGCCGUACCUUCGAUGCUAGGAUCGGUUGGAUCGUGAAGACGUACGACUACAUCAACCGCGUUGUCAUAACGCUUCCGCUUUUGGUCUACGACGGUACGUAGACACACUCUCCCCUCUCGUUGCUAUCACUACUAGGGAAAAGGCUAGCAGCAGCGCGGGUUUUAGACCUAUUAGUAGCGCGGGGUGGUGCGCUACUGAUAAGGCGCUACAGCUAACGAAUAGCAGUAGCGUGCCUCCACCCAUGCUACGGCUAAAUCGACUUAGUAGCAGCGAGUUCCAGGAGGAGCGCUGCUGGUAAUUAGUAGUAGCGCUUCACUCUGCCCGCGCUGCUACUAUUAUUUCGUAUUUUAUUUCUUUUUUAUUUCAUGUUGUAUUCGUACACCUUUACACAAAUUUUCAUACAACAGAAAUUUACAAAUUGUUUUUACAUCAUCAUGAGUUAUUAUAUCACGGGGUGAAAGAACCGUGUGGACUAGUUUCAAGUGGACGGACAUCCACUUGAAACUAAUCCGCGGUUCUUUCACCCAAUGAUAUAAUAAAUAUCAUCAUCAUCAUAUCAUUAACAACUUAUCAUCAUCAUCAUAUCAUUGGUCACUAGUCGUAUUCACAAGUACUCCUGACAUCUUUAACUCUAACACAUUGUAUCACAUAAUAAACAUAUUGUACCUCAUAGGACCUACUACAUUCUCUUAGGACAUACUAUAUUCUCUAAGGUAAAAUAGCAAAAAACAAGAUAGCCCCUCGCUCUCCAUUAUGGAGAAUGCAGAUUAUCCUGUCUCCAAUUCUUGCCUUUCGCUUAAUGUUGCUUCCAAGAACCUCCUUACGAAUGUCUAAACAUUUUUCCACUCUUUGAUUAGCAUGUGUUCACCGGUUUUAGAAAUUCGAUAUGCACAGGUGAGAUCCGUAGGAUGCCCUGGCUGUAGGUUCAGAACUUCAAGGCGACCAUUGUAAUACAUCAGAUGAGGCACACAAUCCAUCGGAAUUUUCUGUUGAAAAACAUAGUAAUAAGUUCGUAGUUAGCAAUGAUGUACUAGUUUUAGAAGUAUGCAAAAGAUGCACGGAUGUCGUAAUAGUAAAAUAUCUUACCAGGGUAUCUCCAUAGAAGUUAUCGUGGUUCAACACGUGCACUAGUGGCACGUAUUCACCAUAAUUUGGAGGAGUUUGAUAAUAGGUAUUGUAAUUCUCAAAAAAAGUACAGUAAGCAAUCAGAUGAUUUUUCUCCUUAUAAGUUAAUUCGGAGCCAUCAGUGUAGUGGGUUUUGUCUACCAUCUUCUGCACAUUCUUUGAAGAUUUAAAAUAAGCUGUCAACUAUUUUGAAAUAAACAAUAUAAAUUAGUUAAUAACUAUGUUUGAGAAACUCACAUUGCGCUAGAAUCGGAAGCGUAUCAACAAGGACCCAAAUGUCCAUAUUGUCUUGCUCGAUGUCAGGAUGACCAAGAUCCAUGGUGACAAUCAUACCCUCAUAAAAACCAUACAUUUUGCAAAGUGCUUCCCAAUUUUGACAACCAAAAUGGUUUACGCUCUGAGAAUUAUAUAGAUUUACUUCAAAAUCGAUAUCAUGAUGGGUCCUUAGGUGUAUUUUCUUUGUUUGAAAAUUUUCAUGGUCUUCAAAACCCAUCCUCUCCAAGACAUAGCGUCUUGCAUGGCAUGGGAUAAGCUAGUCGAAUUGUAAAAGAUGAAAAUUAGACGUUGAAAUAGUUGAAGUCAUGCUUAAUUAUGAAAAAAAAACACUUGUCGUUGUUGCGUACCGUUUCAACAUCGAAGGUCUCCUCGAGCUUAAUGCUGAAGCGCCGAUCUUCGUCCAGCUCAACGAACCUGUCGCACAUAUCUCGAUCAUCGUGGCACCAGCUACACUCCCCCGGGAGACUGUCGUCGUCCGAGUACGACAUUUCCUACGUUCAUAAUUCAAAGAUUAAACUUGUACAAUUAAAUAUAUAUACUAAAAAACCUAAAUUAGAUCAUUAUUUUUCAAAGAAAAUCCAGGCCACUCGAUAUUUCCCACAUAUUCUAGCACAAGUCAUGCCAGAAAUCACGGAAAAAUCCGGCAUGACCUUUGCUAAAAAAGGACAUAUCGAGCGCCUGAAAUUUGCCGGAACGGAAAUUAAUCAACACUCCAGCAAAACAUAGGCCACUCGGAGGUGUAACCAAAACAUGAAAUAAUUGCUUAAACUAAAAAAUAACACCAAAUAUGGCAUGUUCAACUAAUUCUAUUAAUUCAACUAGUUCUUACUAAAUAUAAACUUAGUAUAAAAAGAAAAAAACUAGUUCUUUCUAAAAAUGAAGUAGUUCAACUAGUUAUUAAUUUACUUACUAUACUAGUUCAACUAAAACUUAACUAGUUCAACUAAAACUAAACUAGUUCUAUUAAUUCAACUAGUUCUUACUAAAUAUAAACUUACUAUAAAUAGAAAGAAACUAGCACAUCUACUACUACUAAUUAACAUCUAACUACUACAUCUACUACUAAUUAACAUGUACUACUGCUAAUUAUACAACUAGUUUACCAUCACUACUAGUAAUUAAUAUCCACUACUUCUAAAAAUCAUUAUCUAUGAACCCUAAAUUAACAUCUACUACUACUAAAAUCAUCUACUAACUAAGCAAAGAGAGAGGGGGUUGGGGAGGGGUGGGGGNNNNNNNNNNNNNNNNNNNNNNNNNNNNNNNNNNNNNNNNNNNNNNNNNNNNNNNNNNNNNNNNNNNNNNNNNNNNNNNNNNNNNNNNNNNNNNNNNNNNNNNNNNNNNNNNNNNNNNNNNNNNNNNNNNNNNNNNNNNNNNNNNNNNNNNNNNNNNNNNNNNNNNNNNNNNNNNNNNNNNNNNNNNNNNNNNNNNNNNNNNNNNNNNNNNNNNNNNNNNNNNNNNNNNNNNNNNNNNNNNNNNNNNNNNNNNNNNNNNNNNNNNNNNNNNNNNNNNNNNNNNNNNNNNNNNNNNNNNNNNNNNNNNNNNNNNNNNNNNNNNNNNNNNNNNNNNNNNNNNNNNNNNNNNNNNNNNNNNNNNNNNNNNNNNNNNNNNNNNNNNNNNNNNNNNNNNNNNNNNNNNNNNNNNNNNNNNNNNNNNNNNNNNNNNNNNNNNNNNNNNNNNNNNNNNNNNNNNNNNNNNNNNNNNNNNNNNNNNNNNNNNNNNNNNNNNNNNNNNNNNNNNNNNNNNNNNNNNNCGGCGAGGGCGGGCUCGGGAUCAGGAGGGCGGCGGGCUCGGCGGGCUCGGUCGAGGGCGGCGGCGGUGAGGUCGAGGGCGGCGACAGUGUGGUCGAGAGCGGCGGCGGUGAGGUUGAGGGCGGGCGGCGGCGGUGAGGGCGCAGGCGCGCUUGGGCUCGGGCGGCAGCGACAGGGAGUAGGGGAACAGGCCGGUGGGGGGGGGGAGGAGGACUUAGCGAAAUUUUGAUGCGGGGGUGGUUAACUCGAACUAGCAGUAGCGCACAUACAGAAAACGUGCUAUAGCUAACUUAUCUACAACGCGUUUUGGAAAAAACCGCUACUGCUAAUGGAAGCAGUUAUUUCUUUUGUUUAGUAAAAACAUCAAAAAUAUACAUUGGUCAUCAUUGAUAUUUUUGUGUAUAAUCUAAAUAGUCAACAUGAAUCCUCACUGUACCUGUAUAGGUACAGGCGAGGAUUCAUAUUGCAACCACAAAUCAUACAUAUAUAGUUCAAUGAAGACCAAGUGCUCGAGAUAGGUUGAGAAGCAACAUAUUUAAGGUGGUAAACACCUUGUUCGCUUAGCAGUAUGGGACUAAACUUAAUUAGUUGCGGUCAUACUUACCAGCAGCGAGUUUUGAGCAAAACCGCUGCUACUAAGUUCUUUAGCAGUAGCGCGUCCACGGGAAGGGUGCUACUACUAUAUCUAGCCUGGAGGUAACACCGUGGCAAUUAUAGUAGUAGCGCUCUUUUCACCUAGAGCGCUACUGCUACUCAGUCAUUAGCAGCGCUCUUUUCUAAAGCUCGUUGCUGCUAAUUAGCAGUAGCGUCUGUUUUUAGACCGCGCUGCUGCUAAGAUUCUGUGUAUAAGGUUUUCCCUAGUAGUGUAUGCAUCUCCUAGAUAUAUCUUGCGUGAUCGUAGGUAAAAAAUUUGAAAUACUGCGUUCCCCAACAAUAACAUGAGGUCUAGUUUCAAAAAUGUCGACGCGAGAAAUCCAACAACGAAAACGAUUCGAGAUUUAAACACACAAUCCAAGAGAUAAAACACUUUGAAUAACCGAAUCUAAGAAGAAGAAAAAUUCUCGGGUAGGCCACUUGUCAGCGCCUGAGAAGGUGUGAAAGACCUUUCUGAGGGGCAACCCAUAACUAGUGAUUUCGCACGAGUUCCGNNNNNNNNNNNNNNNNNNNNNNNNNNNNNNNNNNNNNNNNNNNNNNNNNNNNNNNNNNNNNNNNNNNNNNNNNNNNNNNNNNNNNNNNNNNNNNNNNNNNNNNNNNNNNNNNNNNNNNNNNNNNNNNNNNNNNNNNNNNNNNNNNNNNNNNNNNNNNNNNNNNNCCGGAUGCACUUUCGGGCCGGCCCAUGCGAAAGGCGGGUUUCUUUUUUUGUUUUCUUUUUUAUUUCCUGUUUUAGUUUUUUGCUUUAAAAAAAGAGGAUUUCAACAUUACUAUAUUUCAAAAUAUGUUCAAAUUAAUAAACAUUCCAAAUUUUGAAAAAAUGAGUGUAAAUUUGAAUAACGGUCUUGGAUUUAAAAAAUUGUUAGUACAUUUUAGGAUUUGAUAAAACAUUCCAAAACUCAGAAAAUCGAAAUGAAUUUGCAAAUUGUUAAUAAAUUCAAAAGAAAUAUUUAUAAAUUCCCAGAAAAAAGGAGAGAAGAAAACUCGGUGUCGUUCCACUGGUUUGCUGCUGAGGCCGUUGACGCCGGGCAAGGGAGGAUGGUGUCCCGAUCGGGCUUCAUGUCCCUUACCGUGUGACGUGCGCUAGCCCCAGGACAAGGGAAAAGGUGAAAAGGUAGUCCGGCAAAUAUUCACUGAUACGAAACAUGUUCAUGAAAUUUAAAAAUUGUUUCGAAAAUUCAAAAAAAAGUUUAUCAGUUCAACAUAUAUUCAUGCAACCCCAUUUUGUCACUCCCUUUCCGGUCCUUCCUCACCCUUGGCAAUACUAUGCGCAUACGUCGUACCUCCCUACCUCUAUCUUAUUCCCGACUAUAUCCUACGCUGCAUACUUCCCAGCCCUGUCCCAUCGCUGGCUAUAUCCUACACCAUGUAAUCAUACCCCUAUCCUUUAUACAGCUCUCAAUGGUGCAUACUAAAGAAAUAAAGUGCCUAGAGUUUGAUUUUUCUGUUUUUUAACUUUCUUUACUGUCCCUGGGAUUUAAUGCUGAAGGCCAGCAAAAUAAAUUGAGUUGGAGCUAGUUACAUAGCGCCAGUCGCUAACUCUUCUUUGUUCUUCUAGAGUCAACAAGAGAAAGAGAUAAUAAGAUGAGCAGUUGUCGCUGCCUCCACCGGUUUACGCAAGGAUGGCCCCAUCAUCUGUCGUUCCUGGCCACCAUCUGUCAUGUGCCAUCGCUCCUCCUCGCCCUUUCCUCCUCCGCCCUCCUCCCCCUCUUCCUAUUCGACCUACCCUCUGUCGAGGGAGCCCCAUAGGAACAAACCCUAGGUUGAUGUUGCACGACUGUGAAUGUUAGAAGCAGAAGGCGUGCUGCCCAUGACGAUAGUGCGGUGUUCAAAAAAGCUCAUUGAUUUAAAAAAUAUUCAUGAUCUUUACAAAUAAAAAAUAAUGAAUUCCAAAAUUGUUCCCAAAAUUCAAAAUAUGUUAGCAUAUUCCAAAUUUUAUUCCCAGCAAUUUAGAAAUCACUGAUUCAAUGUUCACAAAUUUUAAAAAACUUUGCCAAAAAUUGUUCCCAAAGUUUUAAAAAUGUUCAUCAAUUCAAAAAAUUCAUGAAAUUAAAAAAGAACUUUUUAAAGUGCUCACGCAUUCAAAAGAACUUAUGAAUUUCAAAAAAUGUUCCUAAAUUUCAUAAGAUGAUCCUGAUUUUGAUAUGGAGAAUUAAGAAGAAUAUAAAAGCAGGAAAAAGAAAAACACAUAAAUAAAAAACUAGCUAGGGAAAGUUCUAGAACCUUCACAAAAAUGGUGGAAGAGUAGCACGUAAAAAUUGCUAAUAUGGGCUGACCCAUUUAUGAGCGACCAGUCGGGGCGUGUGCAUUUGGUAUCUAUUCCCUGGCCAACACUGGAAAUAGGAGCUAACAUUCUGUAUGGGAGCUCCUAGUCGACGCCUUAUGCCUCGUCUAGGAGUUCUGGCGCCCACUAGCUGCUGCAAUGGGCCGACACAUUUUACCACUCGCGAUGCGGUCCUCGGCAGGGCGCGUUUCGUUCAUCGGUCAACAAUUGACUUUUGAAAGAAAAAACUAUUUUUAAGAAAACCGAUUUUUGCAAAAUAAAAAAUAAAAAAAUCGUGAUUUUAAAAUUUUCAUGGGUUUUUAAAAAAGUUGACAACUUUAAAACAUCACGAAUUUGGAAAAAAGGUUCAUCAAAUUUGAAAAACAACUAUAUUUCAAAAAAAACUGUUCAUCAAUUUUGGAAAGAAGUUCAUCAAACAUGAAAAAUAUCCAUCGGAUUUGAAAGAUAAAUAAUCAUUUAAAAAAAGGUUCAUAUAGGAGGGUAAGAGAAAACCAGCAUGGCCCAAUAUUCAUAUGAAAAAUUAAUUACUCGCCCAUCCUGGCCCAAAAUCAUGGACCGGAGGAGUGUCAUGUCACACAUACGUUGAUACGUUUGCCUAAAAAAACAUACAUUGAUACGUAUUCCCUCCGUCCUUAAAAGAGUGUAUUUCCAACUUUGUUGGAAGGUCAAACUAUUUCAAAGUUUGAUCGAGUUUGUGCAAAAAUAUGUCAAUGCUUGUGAAAUCAAAUAGGUAUAUGACACAAAUAUAUUUUAUUAUGAAUCUGAUGCUACUAAUUUGAUGACAUAAAUUUUAAUCUAUUACUGUAUAAAUACAAUCAAACAUAAAAAUUCAACUUUCCAACAAAGUUGACGCUGCUGCAGAUUCGAUCGACUUCGUGGUUUUUUCCCCCAAAACCCUAAAACCCUCUAGCGGCGAUUAGGGUUUUGACCGUGGAACUCGUCUUCGCCCGGAGAUUAGUCGACGAUGGUGAGGUCCUGUCCGCUGCAAGAUGGUUNNNNNNNNNNNNNNNNNNNNNNNNNNNNNNNNNNNNNNNNNNNNNNNNNNNNNNNNNNNNNNNNNNNNNNNNNNNNNNNNNNNNNNNNNNNNNNNNNNNNNNNNNNNNNNNNNNNNNNNNNNNNNNNNNNNNNNNNNNNNNNNNNNNNNNNNNNNNNNNNNNNNNNNNNNNNNNNNNNNNNNNNNNNNNNNNNNNNNNNNNNNNNNNNNNNNNNNNNNNNNNNNNNNNNNNNNNNNNNNNNNNNNNNNNNNNNNNNNNNNNNNNNNNNNNNNNNNNNNNNNNNNNNNNNNNNNNNNNNNNNNNNNNNNNNNNNNNNNNNNNNNNNNNNNNAGGCUACUCCCUUGGUAAUCGAUGAUCGCGUCGAGGGAGCACCGGCAAGGUGGUUGGUGGCUGGCAAAAUUCUUCAUCGCAGUCUGUUCCAUAUACAGACCAUCACCAAUGCCUUGAGGCCGGCCUGGGGUAACCCAAGGGGAUUGAAGUUCAGAUCUGUGGGCUUUAACACGUUUGUGGCUGAAUUUGAAACCCAAUGCGAUCAGGAUCGUGUGUGGGGUGGAUCGCCAUGGCACAUCAAUAAGCAUGCCGUGGUGCUGGCGGAGUUUGAGGAACAUAUGAGACCGGACGAAGUUAAGUUUGACAAGCUCUAAAUCUGGGCUAGGGUUGUGAAUCUCCCCUACAAUCUAAGGGAUGAAUCUUGGUGGGGCGCCGAUUGCAAAGCAGAUGGAUAAACACGCCCAGUCAAUUAGCUUUGAUCACACCUGUCAUGGAAUUGUCACGGCAGAUGUCCUAGUGUGAGGACUUAGUCGUGAGGCCAACACAUCUACGCGGUAGCUUGAAGGGGUUGGUCGGAAUCGAGAGACGUGAGGCGGAUCAACACACAAGACAAGGAUUUAGACAGCUUCGGGCCCUGAGAAACAUCAUCCGGUAAUAGCCCUACAUGUUGUUUGUGGCUAGGUUUCAUUAUGCGCAUGAGAGAGUCACCGCAUAAGCCGGCUCCCCCUUUAUGUCUAGCCCUAGAGAUUGUUUCUUUCUUCUCCCUCUUUGGGGAGCCCUGCCCCUCCUUAUAUAAGUUGAAGGGGCGGGUUACAUGUGGAGUCCUAUUAGGAUUAGGACUAGUCUAUUACAAGUGGAAUCCUAGUCUACCCCCCUUAAGGGAAAACUCCUUAUGCCUUUCCUCGUAAACCGGCCCACCAUAACAUGAGCUGGCCUUCUGGGCCUUGGGCCUAGUCUUCUAUCUGACCCGCCGUUAAGGGCCAUCCGUGAGCCGCCAGGUUCGUGAGUCGCCACUACGACGGGUUACCAAUGAAAACGCCAAGCCCGGCCGAGUCAUACUUCCGACCGGGUCAUAACGUAGGGUAUAUCCCCGACAUUAGCCCCCAGUUUAAUUUGGAUUUCUCCAUGUUAAACUGAUCCUGUAAAAUAAACACAAGAACAAACUUGAUAGGUUGUGCUCCUGGUUAAAUAUUUUCCUGAAUCGGCACAUGAUCAUCUUUAAGUCCUUGUCAUUUCCUCUUGGAUGCAUACUCAAGAUCUUAUAGCAAAUAUCUUUUAACAGAUAUGUCCAAACCUUGCCAAUGCAAAAAAUCCAGGCACUUCUUAAAAAAUCCGGGUCAAUAGGCCAGCUUCAUAACCAAUUUGCUGACAUUGGCUCUUGUAGAGAAAUAUUAUAAGAAAUAAUCCAUUUGAGUCAGCCUUCAAUGCUCUGACUUGNNNNNNNNNNNNNNNNNNNNNNNNNNNNNNNNNNNNNNNNNNNNNNNNNNNNNNNNNNNNNNNNNNNNNNNNNNNNNNNNNNNNNNNNNNNNNNNNNNNNNNNNNNNNNNNNNNNNNNNNNNNNNNNNNNNNNNNNNNNNNNNNNNNNNNNNNNNNNNNNNNNNNNNNNNNNNNNNNNNNNNNNNNNNNNNNNNNNNNNNNNNNNNNNNNNNNNNNNNNNNNNNNNNNNNNNNNNNNNNNNNNNNNNNNNNNNNNNNNNNNNNNNNNNNNNNNNNNNNNNNNNNNNNNNNNNNNNNNNNNNNNNNNNNNNNNNNNNNNNNNNNNNNNNNNNNNNNNNNNNNNNNNNNNNNNNNNNNNNNNNNNNNNNNNNNNNNNNNNNNNNNNNNNNNNNNNNNNNNNNNNNNNNNNNNNNNNNNNNNNNNNNNNNNNNNNNNNNNNNNNNNNNNNNNNNNNNNNNNNNNNNNNNNNNNNNNNNNNNNNNNNNNNNNNNNNNNNNNNNNNNNNNNNNNNNNNGAUUAUUUCUUAUAAUAUUUCUCUACAAGAGCCAAUGUCAGAAAAUUGGUUAUGAAGCCGGCCUAUUGACCCGUAUUUUUUAACAAGUGCCUGGAUUUUUUGCAUUGGCAAGGUUUGGACAUAUCUGUUAAAAGAGAUUUGCUAUAAGAUCUUGAGUAUGCAUCCAGGAGGAAAUGACAAGGACUUAAAGAUGAUCAGGUGUCGGUUCAGGAAAAUAUUUAACCCGGAGCACAACCUAUCAAGUUUGUUCUUGUGUUUAUUUUACAGGAUCAGUUUAACAUGGAUAAAUCCAAAUAAAACUGGGGGCUAAUGUUGGGGAUAUACCCCGCGUUAUGACCCGGCCGGGCUUGGCGUUUUCAUUGGUAACCUAUCGUAGUGGCGACUCACGAACCUGGCGGCUCACGCAUGGCCCUUAACGGCGGGUCGGAUAGAAGACUAGGCCCAAGGCCCAUAAGGUCGGCUCAUGUUAUGGUGGGCCGGUUUACGAGGAAAGGCAUAAGGAGUUUUCCCUUAAGGGGUGCAGACUAGGAUUCCACUUGUAAUAGACUAGUCCUAAUCCUAAUAGGACUCCACAACACCAGUGGUUUCCUGCGUGCUAGGAUUACCAUCGAAGUCGAGAAGCCUUUGAGGAGGUGGAUCCUCAUCGAUUCUGCCAGGAGGAAGAAAGUGGAUAUGUAUGACAUACAAUAUGAACAGGUUCCAUAUUUUUGCUUCUCAUGUGGCAGGUUGGGACACUCGGACCCGUACUGCCCAACACCGGGAUCGCGGGAUGAGAAUGGCGAGCUCCCUUUUGGAUCUAUGUUGCAGUCACCAAAGGACUAUCGAAAGCAGGCUUUGUCAGAAAAUUCCUUCAGAGACCAUACUGGGGCCAGCAACAAACAAGCAACAAGGAACUCUAGUAACAAGAGAGAUACGGGGGAGGAGGUGACUUCCCCAGUGAAGAAUAGGGAGCAGCAGAAAUGGAAAGAUGCAUCGAACCAAGUUUACAAGCCUGUGGCUAAAACCACGCUGCUGCUCACCGAUGGAGGUGCAGAAACGGGUGUUGAUGGUAAUAUUCUGGCUAGAACUGAUGCAACAUCAAUAAGCCACGAAGAGGGAGAGGACUUUGUUAGGGAAAUAAAGAAGAAACCUACACCUGAAAAUUCGGCAGAGACCGCGCCGCGGUCCUGCCAGUCCCAAUGAGUUGCAUCGGCUGGAACUGCCGGGGGCUUCGGAACCCCAAGGCAGUUUGAUAACUUCGUAGUAUUGUGAAGUUGGAAAGCCCCACUCUUCUAUUUGUCAUGGAAACAAAAAUAAGAGCUAAAAGAGUAGAAGAUUUGCAGAACAAUUUGAGUUUUGCUGGCUGUUUUGCCAUAGACAGUGUGGGCCUUAGCGGCGGCAUUGGUCUGUUUUGGUCCCGCGAUGUGUCAGUUGAACUUAGGAACUACAGUCAACGUCACAUCGAUGUGUUGGUUACUAACAAGCUACUGAAUUCUCCACCUUGGAGAUUCACGGGGUUUUAUGGAGCAGCGCGUGCGGAAGAAAGACACCACAGUUGGAGGUUUUUGCGUUUGCUUCACUCUAUUCCUCAUGAUGCAUGGUUGUGCAUGGGGGAUUUCAAUGAGACUUUAGACUCUAAUGAACAUUUUAGCCGGGCUGCUCGUCCAGAGCGACAAAUGCGAGCAUUUAGAGAGGUGAUUGAUGAGGUUUCCCUCCAGGACUUAGGCUGGUUAGGUACGGCCUACACAUGGGAUAAUCGUCAGUCUGGAGUGGAUAAUGUUAAAGCAAGGCUGCAUCGAGCCUUUGCUAACGAAAAUUUUCGGCAAAAGUUUCAGUACAUCAAGGUUCGGCAUCUGUUCUCGGUGGAGUCUGAUCACUGCUUUGUUGUUGCAGAAAUCAAAGAAACGUUUGAGACAUGUGUCAUGGUUCUAAGUCUGACAGUAAUGUAGGGGGGUAGGUAUGGAGAGGCAAGAUCUUAGCUAUGGAGUAGUUGUAAGCACACGAGGUUUACGAGUUCAGGCCCUUCUCGGAGGAAGUAAUAGCCUUACGUCUCGGAGCCCGGAGGCGAUCGACUGGAUUAUGUGUGUAUGAAUUACAAGGGUGCGAACCCUUUACACUGAGGAGGGGGUGGCUUAUAUAGAGUUCGCCAGACCCCUCCGGCCCUCAGUUAUGCAGGGUUUUAAGUACAUUAAGGUCGGGCGUUACUGGUAACGCCCCUAAUAAAGUGCUAUGAUGACCAUAAAAGCUACUUAAUGACCGACCGUUAGCGUGCGGAGUGACUUUAGGUCUCCUGGCUGUUGAGUGGUUUCUUCUUGGUCGAGUGAUUGCUUCUUGGUCGAGUGUCUUCGAGUCUGUCGAGUGGAACACCUCCAAGUCGAUUGAAAGGUGAUUUCUUCUAGAGAUGUCCUUGGGUAGGGCAGUUAGGACAUGUCCAUGACCCUACCCUAGGUACAUAGCUUCAUCAUUAGCCCCUGAAUGGAUCGAGGUUUGAGUGGGGAAGGAGUUGAGAACUUCUCCGACUCAUUUUUCAUGCCAUGAGCAUAUCUUGUUUCGGAUCAAUAAACCUGAGUGACGACAGUAACUUCCUUUUCAGUCGCCUUGAUCCAUUCUUAGUUUUUUGUCGAGUGAGUUUCUUUACUUGAAAAGCUCCGAGUGACGGUGUGGAGGAGAUCUUCCGUCUGAUAAGUUGUUCUGCUGCCCGCGGAUUUCACGGGAUUCGAAUUUUGGGAAGCGCGCGGGACGGGGGAGGCCGCAGUAAUCGGAUGGGAUAGGGUGGAGCCACCUCGAUCUUUGCGCCACCUUUUUCGCCACGUAUCGCGCGCGCGAUUGUUACGGGAUUUGACAGGAUCGUCCGGGCCUACCACUCAGCCACUCGGAAGUGACCUCAUAUAAGGCAUCGGACCGGGGUUUCUUGAACAGUGCGUUCUCAUUUCCUCUUCUCCUCUUCAGCCUUCUUUGUCGUGCUCGCUCUCGCCCCAGCGCCGCCGCUCCGUACGUGUCUCACCGGUGACGAUGGGGAAGGAGAAGACGGUGGCUCUGGAGCAGGCGAAGAAGACGACGGCAAAGGCGAAGGGGAAGGUGACCAGUCGGGGUGGAUCUUCCUCAUGAGCCGGCCUACCGAAGGGCUGGAUCCAGGGCGACUGGAUCCGCUCGACGAUCCGCCAAGAAGACCUCAACGACCUAGCCGACGGAGGACUGAUCCCCCAUGGAUCGGCGCGGCUUCCAGGGAAGGAAUCCGAGCCGCAACCUCGGGAGGGUGAGCGCAUUCUCCUUGCCACUCACGUCGACCGUGGGUUUUCCUUGCCUCCUCACCCUUUCUUUCGGGAAUUUCUAAAUUUCUUUGGGGCACAACUCCACCACUUCACUCCCAACACAAUCGUGUAUCUCGUUGCUUUCGUGUCUUUGUGCGAGAAUUUCUUGGGUUGUCGGCCUCACUGGGGUCUUUUCAAGCACAUUUUCACCUGUCGUUCUCAGACGGUGAAAAAGGCCAACCCGAGUGAUGAGAGAACACAAGUGAUUCAGAUGUGUGGGGGUCUUGGUGUUCAGAUGAGAGGGAGAAGUUCCUUUCCGGCCAUGAUUCUUCCCGACUCGGUCCGCGGAUGGCAGUCGACCUGGUUUUACUGCAAAGACCAGUCGACGCCAGGGCAGUCGACUGGCCUCCCUCCUUUUACCAUGGACCGAGUGAGGAAACCCUCCUCUUUGAAGGUGAUCCUGGAGGAGAGGGCACAAGUUAGGGUGCUGGUCGAACGAGUGGUACAGCUUAUCCGUGACGGGGUCACUGGCAUGGAUCUCUUGGAGGUUUUCCUUCGGCGGCGCAUCCAGCCUCUUCAAGCUCGAGACCAUCCGAUGUGGAUGUAUUCGGGUCUUGACGACACCACUCAGAUUCACCCGGAGGAGGUCGAUGACGACACACUGGAGGGGUGGCUGUCGGGCAUCACCGGAAACAAGGACAACCCCAGGGGAGCCAGGAGAGUUCCUCCAUUCGACCAGUCCCAUGAACCAGAAAAGGUCCGAUUCUGAGCUUUUGAUUAUAAUCUGAAUUCACUCGUGCAGCUGUCUAUACUGCAUCGACUGACUUUAUUCUUCCUGCUUUCUCUCAGGCCCUUAUCGAAAUGUACUCAGUGCCCAAUGGAGAGCAAGAGCAAGACCCAGAAGGAGAGGCGAGCGGCGGCGACAAUGGCGAAUGGCAUUCUGACGGAGAAGGGGAUGAAGAAAGCAACGACUCAAGUGACGAAGAAGAAGUUGAGUCGCCUCCUCGCAGGGAGAGGCGAUCCAAGCUUGACCAAGAACGACCGAGCGCCCGUGAAAAGGCGAUUGCUCAGACUGGUCAGUCUUCAAAGUGUCCUCGGACAUAUUCACCAACCCCAACUGAAAAAGCGUCAAAGCAUCCCAAAGUUGCAGAGCAAAAGCCUCGGAAGGCAUUGCUGAAGAUUAAGAUUGACAUCCUCGUCGCUUCUACGUGAGUGUCUCCCUUUGUAUUCACUCGACGCUUCGUGCUGUUUAUUUUUUCUUGAUUUAACCAGAUGAACUUUGGAACUGGCAGCGCUGCUACUUCCGGGACCUCAGCUUACAGGGAUGAGGAUGAGGUAAUGGAGGAUGCAGUCACUUCCAAUCUGGGUAUGAUUUCUGUCAUUCUGUCUUUAUUUGGUCGACUCAACUGCAAUGUGUACCAUUGGGUGAUGUGAUUUUGGCGAUUGAUCUUUGAAUAGCUCCUAACAUUAUUGACCUCCCCGAUGAUGAUGAUGAAGAGCAUGAGAGGCCUUUGACAAGGAAAAAUAGGAAAGCUCCUGCAAGCAAGGUGCCACAGUCGACGCCGAUGGCGGAACCAGUCGUUCAGGAAGCUAGUGAUGCCAAUCGGGGUUCUGCUACCUUUGUCGUACCAUUGCCGAGUGCUCUGCCUUCUUCGUUGACUGCUCAAGCUCCUGCCGACCCACCUUCAGUUUUUGCGAUCCAUCAUGUCCCAGAGGACGAAGUGAAUGCCACCAAGGAAGCUAUACGCCAGGCGGGCAUUAUGAUGGAAAAGAUGAAGGCGGUGCGGGACGCCAGUCAGGCCGCCUAUGACGCCAGCUCGGCUCUCCAAAGCAAUGCUCAGGUUAGUUGGUCACCGCUUGUUCUGUUAGGAUAUGCUAUCAGAAGACUCUCUUUCCGAAAAUCUUUGCAUCUGUACACCCAGUGGGUGCAUCGAUUGAAUUUUUGGACUAGUGGGGGCACGCUGAGUGCACCCACUGGGUGUAGUCCCCGAGACUACGGUGGACUGCUGGCAGUCGACUAUAGUCUUUGUAUUUUGAUUCUUUCGCUCGAUCUGGUCUGGCCGUGUCGAGUGUAAACCGAACCGAUGGGGGCACGCAAAAGUGCACCCACUGGAUGUAGUCCCCGAGACUAUGGUGGACUGCGGGCAGUCGAUCGUAGUCUUAGUAUUUAUUUUCUUUGUCGUUUUUUGCUGUAAAAUAACUUCCCCUCCCUGAUUGAAGAAAUCUUGUGAUCUUGGAGCUCGCUUCGUUGACUUGGAGAAACAGCAGAUCCAGCUAAACCUUGACUUGGAAUUGGCCAAGACAGAGCUGCAAAAGGCCAAGGACGAUGCCAAUGGUAAGACGAGCUUGUCGACUGGUUUGUCUUUGGCUUGAGUACCCUUCUGCUCUUUCUAAAUCAAGCACCAUUUCUUUGCAGAAAAACUGAACGAAGAUCUAGCGAAGAAGGAUCAGGAUUUGGCUGCUGCUCAAAAGAAAGCUGACGACAGAACCGCUCUGGUUGAACAGAAACUGGCUUCAGUCGGCCAAUUGGAAGAAGAGAAUGCCAAGAUGAAAUCUGCCCUAGGCGAAGCCAACAAGGAGGUCACGCGCUUGAAGAAGGACAAGGUCAACCUGAACGAGAAGAUGGAAGGCAUCGCUCGCAGGAGGGAUGAUCUGGAGAGCUAUCUGAGGAGCCUUGCCAAGAAGUUGUUCAUCAAGCUUGAAGGUAUACAUUUUGUUCUGACUGAUUUUUUUUGUCGACUCAGCAUACGGGAAUUGACUUAUCCUUGGAUCGUGAAUGCAGAGUUUUGCCAGAACUUCGAGGAGGAGACUAGGCGGAUUGAGCUAGGUUUGGACCCCAUCAACUCUCCCGUAAAAGAUGAAACUGCCAUGAAUCUGCUCCGACUGGAAUCCCGCAUCGACGGUGUUGUGGACUACUUGGCUCGACUGAAGGUUGCCACGUCACGGAUCGACACGGCACUUUGGCCAGGGGCCACGCUCCAAAAUGAUCUCGAGUCUCUGAUGACUCGACUUAACGAGAUCCCUGGUCGAGUGCAGGAGUGGAAGAAAUCUUCUGCCCGGUGUGGUGCUGAUGUGGCUCUGUCUUUGGUUCAUGUCCACUGCAAGGAGGCGCGAGAAGAUAAGCUGGCAGCAAUCAAGGUCGCCAACACCCAGAGGCAUGACUUCCGAUCUUUUAUGGAGACUUUUAUUGCUGCAGCCACUCGGAUCGCCGACGGUGUCGACCUGGACGAGUUCGUUGAGCCUGCCAGUCCUCCUCCUGUGGAGUGAACAAACUUUUAUGCCCCACCUUAAAUUUUCCUCGGAAUGCCGAGUGGUUUUUGUAACCGUUAAACUCUUUCGGGCUGAAUGCCCGAGCACUUCGAUCUGCGAUCUGGAACCUUUAGGAUUUAUCUGAACUUGGUCUAUCAUUGAAUAUCUUCAUGAAUUCUCCGUCGAGUUGAACUUGUUCUUCACUCGAGACAACUUUCGUAUUUGUGGCGCAGCUCCGAAGGAGAAGGUAGCAGUCGACCUGCACCUCAUCGUCCUUGCGGAUUGGGGUGUGUUUCAUACUUAGGCGAGUACUGGACUACAGCUAAGCCUCCGAGUGGGAGGGUUGCUCUCCACUCGGUAGGAUUUUCAAACUUAGGCGAGUACUGGACUGCAGCUAAGCCCCCGAGUGGGAGGGUCGCUCUCCACUCGGUAGGAUUUUUCAAACUUAGGCGAGUACUGGACUGCAGCUAAGCCUCCGAGUGGGAGGGUCGCUCUCCACUAGGUAGGAUUUUUCAAACUUAGGCGAGUACUGGACUGCAGCUAAGCCCCCGAGUGAGAGGGUCGCUCUCCACUCGGUAGGAUUUUCAAACUUAGGCGAGUACUGGACUGCAUCUAAGCCCCCGAGUGGGAGGGUCGCUCUCCACUCGGUAGGAUUUUUCAAACUUAGGCGAGUACUGGACUGCAGCUAAGCCCCCGAGUGGGAGGGUCGCUCACCACUCGGUAGGAUUUUCAAACUUAGGCGAGUACUGGACUAUAGCUAAGCCCCCGAGUGGGAGGGUCGCUCUCCACUUGGUAGGAUUUUCAAAUACUUAGGCGAGUACUGGACUGCAGCUAAGCCCCCGAGUGGGAGGGUUGCUGUCGGUGUCAAAACCGGCGGAUCUCGGGUAGGGGGUCCCGAACUAUGCGUCUAGGCCGGAUGGUAACAGGAGACAAGGGACAUGAAGUUUUACCCAGGUUCGGGACCUCUCGAUGGAGGUAAAACCCUACGUCCUGCUUGAUUAAUAUUGAUGUUAUGGGUAGUACAAGAGUAGAUCUACCACGAGAUCGAGGAGGCUAAACCCUAGAAGCUAGCCUAUGGUAUGAUUGUUGAUGUGUAUGUUGUCCUACGGACUAAAACCCUCCGGUUUAUAUAGACACCGAGUAGGGUUAGGUUACAUAGAGUCGGUUACAAUGGUAGGAGAUCUGCAUAUCCGUAUCACCAAGCUUGCCUUCCACGCCAAGGAAAAUCCCUCCCGGACACGGGACAGAGUCUUCAAUCUUGUAUCUUCAUAGUCCAGGAGUCCGGCUAAAGGUAUAGUCCGGCCAUCCGGACACCCCCUAAUCCAGGACUCCCUCAGUAGCCCCUGAACCAUGCUUCAAUGACGACGAGUACGGCGCAGAUUGUUUUUGGCAUUGCAAGGCGGGUUCCUCCUCCAAGUACUUCAUAGAAGAUUUCGAACAAAGAUAGUGUCCGGCUCUGAAAAAUAAGUUUCCACAUAAUGCCAUAGAGAGAAUAAUAUUUACACAAAUCUAAUCUGCUGACGUAUUCCGUAGUGUGACAUCACACCACGGCCAAGCUUUUAUUCAAACCGUUUUACUGUCCCAUCUCAGCGCGUUAUGCGAGGCGGCUUCCUUGGCACGUCUUGUUAAAGCAGAGAUCGUGUCCCCUUAUUCCGGGAUUCUCAUCAAUACGGGCGUGGGUAACCCAACCGCUUCUAGGACUCCUAGAUUGUAGGCAAGUCCAAACGGGCACGGGGAGGACGCUUGAUAUUCACCCUCUUUAUAAAGGGGACAAGGCUUUUAUUUUUCUCUCCCGUGCUCAAUCGAAUCCUCCCCCCACCUCAAGCUCAAAUGCCCGAAGUUCAGGUCAGGCGCCCCGAACCUUCAAUCAUGUCCGGAUCUAGCCUUCAAGGCCGAUGGAUGCCCUCCUCCGUCACGGAAGAAGACAUCAAGAAGUUGAGGGAGGCCAGAUAUCUGACCGCCGAGAUUUUACAUCGGCUGCCUCCCCGAGGGCAGGCCGUCCCCACCCCCAAACCCAACGAGAACGUCGUGUUUGUUUCCCACUUCCUCCGAGGUCUAGGCCUUGCCCUGGAUCCUUUCGUCAGGGGUUUGAUGUUUUACUAUGGGCUAGAUUUUCAUGAUCUAGCUCCAGACUCCUUUCUUCAUAUCACGACAUUUAUUAUCGUGUGCGAGGCCUUCCUCCGGGUUACCCCUCACUUUGGCCUAUGGCUCAAGACCUUUGAAGUGAAGCCAAAGCUGGUCGAGGGGGAGCAUGCAGCGUGUGGAGGUGCCUCAAUAUGCAAGAUGACGGGAGCUCCGUGGCCCAAACGUUCCAUCCCAGAGGUGUCUGAAUUGUGGCAACAGGAGUGGUUCUACAUCACGGCUCCUAGAAGUGCCAAGUGCCCCCCCCCCUCCCCCGUUUUCUGCUCGGGCCCCCCACCACAACUGAUGUCAUGGAUCAGCAGAGGUCUGAGCUGGGGGCCAGCCAAGGACGUGCCUAUACUGCAAGGCCGCAUUCGAGAUCUCUUCAUUGGAGAUUCAGUUUAGUUACGGUGAUACAGGUUAUGCUGGUUCGUCAAGUCCAGCCUUGCAAACGUCGGCCUCUUCUCCUGUGGGAGUUCAAUCCUGAGGAACGGCGUGCCAUUCAAAAUUUUCUCGGCCUGACGCACGAGGAGAUGUACAAGUCAUUCUUCGGACCUCAGACGGAGUGUCCGGAUAUCACCGAGGACGUGGGCCUAAGUAGAAACCGCACCGCCAAACAGGUAAGGCAUCUUCCGGCCGAACAUACUUUCUCUACUUUGUUACGAAGUUAUCUCUGAGAGUUUGCUUUUUGACCAGGACUAGCUAACAAAGGCGAAGUUGAUUCGGUGUUCGGCCCCCCUCCCUGAGGGUUUGGAAAAUCCGGUAUUGGAAAAGAUGCUCCAGACCGCACCUUGCCCGGAACCCUUGAAGGAAGAUACUGUGGAGGAUAAUGCAGGCGGACGCGGGCCCCCAACGCUGCCCAUUCUAACCGAGGGAGCGAGCGUCUCCAUGAAGGAAGACGACCAGAAGAGGAAAAGGACUGCGCUCGGGGAUUCGGAAGCCGAAGCUUCCAAACGGGAGAAGAAGUCUCCCAUAGAGGGUCCUACCUUGGGGGGGCGCCGUUGCCGCACAAAGUCCGUGGGGGGAUCAAUUCUCCCGCGAGUCGUAAGUGACCCGAAAUACUUUAACAGUACAGAUAUGCCAUCUUUUUCUUCCGAGAAGAUAACCACCGCAUAUAUUUUUGCAGUUCGGGCCUUAGCCCCUCUCAAAUGAGCUCGUCUUCGGGGGAGCUUCUUCCAGAGAUGAUGGAGAGCGAAACGCCUCCUCCGGACUCCUCCGCUCUAGAAGCGGGCGACCCUGAAGUGUCAUCGCGGAGGGCCUCUCCGAGUCCGGUGAGGCCAGAAGAUAAUCCCAUUGAUCCCCGAAGCUCCCAGUGUCCGGCUCCCGAAGAGAGCAGACAAAAUAGUCCGGCACCGUCUAGUGUGCGAUCGGAUGUUCUGAGGGAGUUGGUGGGGUGAGCGGUCAUCUCAGAUGAACACCGUGUGCUGAUGAAUACGGUGAUGGAGAGAAUAUCGUCCGCCGAAAGCGGAUUGCAUGAAGCUUUUAUGAGUCUACUGACAGGCUUUGAGGUACGUAAAAGAAUGUAUGGUAGUCCUGCACAUGCUAGGUGUGCCCUGUGUAGAUAGUAGCCUCUGAGACUCUGGUUGUCGUCGGAAACGACGACGAACAGAGGAUCAUAUUCCCAAGCAAUAACCAUACUGCCUCUAUGUGCAGGUGAUGGAAGCUCCGGUGGCUAGCCAGACUAGUGAGUUUGCCCAUUUAGAACGGUAGUUGGAUGCAGCAGACGCCGACAUCGAGCUUGUUAACAAAAGGGUUGACGAGGCACAGGGUAAGUGUCAUUAUCUGGUAAACGCCGCAAUAGGAAGAGCAGUAUGAUGCCAGCAUCUUUAAUAUGUUGUGACUGCAGAUGGAGCUGCCACUGUUGAAGCCUUGCGGGCAGAACUUGCCCGAGCCAAGGAACAAGCGAGGUUGGGUAAUGCGGCUGCCUUGAAGGCGUCCGAAGAGUUGCAAGCCGAGAAGGCCGCGCAUGGCGAGAGCCGAGACAAGAUGGCCAAGAUGGCUAUAGAAUUAAAAGUCGCCGCCGACCGUUGCCGGGUUCUUGAAAAAGAAAACCAGGCGAAGGCAUCGUACCUUGAAAAGGCUGCUGCAACGAAAAAGGAUCUCCGCUCUGCUAUGAGGGCAAAGAAGGAGGAGCUGCGGGAAGCUGGGGAUAUUGUAGUUGGGAAAUCCUUUAUGUUGCGGAGGAAAUUCGGAGAUCCACGGUAUGCCCCUCUGGAUCGGCUGUGGAGUUCGGAGGAUGUAUAUAUGGAUUUGGCGGCGAGCGCUGCCGAUGCGGCCAAGUACUUCCAGGGUCAGACAGACUGUGGAGUAGACCAGCUGUUUUGGAGACAAUUCCAUUCUCCCGAGCGUCCACUUUUAUUGACUGACCAAUUAGCCGAAUGGGCCGAACUAAAUAGGUUGUCCAGACUCUCCAUGAGGUCUGUUCUGGAUCAGUUAUGGCCGGAAAGGUCAAAACCGAACAGCUAUUUCAGCUUGGUGCAGCAGUUCCUUGACGUGGUGCCGCACAUUAAUGCGAUGAAGAGGUCGGCGUGCAUAGAGGGCGCACGGAUGGCCUUUGCCCGUGUUAAGGCAUACUGGGCGGAGAUGGAUGCUACCAAUGUUGCAGCGCGGGAUUCGGCUAUAGGUCGAAAGGCUGCUGAGCACUAUUUUGAAGAAGUUCUUGAGGGUGCCCGCUUGAUAGAGACCCAGUGCUCAAAAAAUAUUAUGUUUGAGUGAUAUGUAAUCUCAUUGUAAGCGAAAUGCUUUUAUAAAAUUUUUAUAAGGCUAUUUUUAUACUUUUGCCUGAAAGUAAUAUGAUGCCUCCUGGGCGGCCAUUUAUGUAUACAUGUGUAUAACCUGAAAGAUUGCGGUCGUUGGCUUCGGCCCCCACGCAUAUAAUGCGGAGGUGCUCGCAAAAACACGCGUUCACACUUAAACCAACAUCUUGGUCCUAUUAAGGAGGUGAUAGCGGAGCGAGCGAGGCAACCGGACUAUAAUGCUUUAGCACUUUCACUUAGCCAUAGGAGUUUGACAGUGGGGCUACUAGAUAGCCCUUGGUGGCUCCGCACUCUCCCGGUUUCGGGUGCGUACAUGCUUGGCCGGAAAACGGUCCUUCGUUAAGGCGGAGGAAUUCUAACAUUCCCACAGGUCAUCGAGUGGUUGACCAGUUUCACGCUAUAUCAUGACAGUCAGUUUUCGGAUUUCUCUACUGAGGUGCUCGUCCGGAUGAACCAGGGCACAAUCGUAGUAGUUCUCCUGGUGCUACCUUAGCCGGUAAAGCGGAACGUGAGGCACCAAAACACAGGAGCCGAGCAAACCCAACAUUUGACCAAAGAUAAUGAUUCGGAGCUGAUGCAUAUAGGGCCAAACUCGCGACGCCGAACACUUCCUAAGGUAUUCGGUCUUUGUGGUAUAAACCGGGCCUAAAUAAUGGCCUUUGUAAGAAGCCCCUUGUGUCCAGGUACAUGCAUUGUUCUGGCGUGGCCACAUGCCAAGACGUCAGCAUCCUUCUCAACGGUGGAUAUGUAUCAACAAGAGACAGUAAAAAAGGUUUACGCAGGGUCUUAAUCUAAAAAGAAUCCUUGGAGCGGGUCCCUGCUGCACGUCUGCGCCUGUGUCUCUGUUGUGCCGUAUCCUGGACGGGUGUAGCACGAUGAUCGUCUGUAAAAGAUAGGAAGUUAAGUGAAAAAGUUGUCGUGCAAAAAGGAUAGUUUUUAAAGAAACCAUGUGUAAUUCAAGAUGAUAAGAAAUUGCCACUUGUCUGCGCGCGUUGAGCCCCUUGUAUUGACAAAUAGGGGUGUGACCAUUCCGUAUAAAUAGCGGCGCCGGACUUGAUUAGUUGUAUCUGAGGUCUUGACGACCUAUUGGAUGCUUUCGUUUGUCCGGGCGCCUUUAGUGUGCGGCGGCCAAGGCAGCCUCACUCUCUUCGGCGUGCAGAGAUCGCUUGAUAUUUCCGUGCACUGUAAUGAUGCCCCAUGGACCGGGCUUCUUGAGUGUGAGGGAGGCGUAGUGCGGUAUGGCAUUAAAGCGAGCGAAAGCUUCGCGUCCGAGCAGUGCUUGAUAGCCACUUUGAAACGGAGCGAUGUGGAA
Molecule: long non-coding RNA, 39069 nt
Filed under: Triticum aestivum (bread wheat)
Lineage: Eukaryota; Viridiplantae; Streptophyta; Magnoliopsida; Poales; Poaceae
Description: long non-coding RNA (TAES_LNC026840)
Source: RNAcentral